AAGCGGAGGAGCAUGUGGUUUAAUUCGAUGAUACGCGAGGAACCUACCUGGGCUCGAACGUAAGAUGACUGUAGGUGAAAGCUUACAUCUCUUCGGAGCAUUUUACGAGGUGCUGCAUGGUUGUCGUCAGCUCGUGCCGUGAGGUGUCGGGUUAAGUCCCAUAACGAGCGCAACCCUACCUUUAGUUGCCAUCAGGUAAUGCUGGGGACUCUAAAGGAACUGCCUACGCAAGUAGUGAGGAAGGCGGGGAUGACGUCAAAUCAGCACGGCCCUUACGUCCAGGGCUACACACGUGCUACAAUGGCCGAUACAGAGGGCAGCUACCUGGUGACAGGAUGCAAAUCUCCAAAGUCGGUCUCAGUUCGGAUCGGAGUCUGCAACCCGACUCCGUGAAGUUGGAUUCGCUAGUAAUCGCGCAUCAGCCAUGGCGCGGUGAAUACGUUCCCGGGCCUU
This 453-nucleotide ribosomal RNA is filed under the name uncultured Sphingobacteriales bacterium. Its description in RNAcentral is "bacterial SSU rRNA". It matches the Rfam family "Bacterial small subunit ribosomal RNA", at positions 927 to 1382 of the family's 1533-position model. The record is from RNAcentral. Lineage: Bacteria; Pseudomonadati; Bacteroidota; Sphingobacteriia; Sphingobacteriales.